This 72-nucleotide transfer RNA is filed under the name Pristionchus pacificus. Its description in RNAcentral is "tRNA-Glu (CTC) (tRNA-Glu-CTC-9-1)". It matches the Rfam family "tRNA". From Rfam's summary of the family: Transfer RNA (tRNA) molecules are approximately 80 nucleotides in length. Their secondary structure includes four short double-helical elements and three loops (D, anti-codon, and T loops). The record is from Rfam by way of RNAcentral. Lineage: Eukaryota; Metazoa; Nematoda; Chromadorea; Rhabditida; Neodiplogasteridae.
UCCGAUGUAGUCUAGUGGUUAUGAUUUGUGGCUCUCACACGCAAGGCCCGGGUUCGAUUCCCGGCAUCGGAA